GUGGUGCCAAAACCCCCCAGCGGAAAAAUGGCCAAAAAACGGGUGGGCUAUAGCCUUGGUGGGGGGCGCGGGCGAAGUUCGUCCGCCGGACUCGGAAUGUGGCGAGACUUUGCGAGGGGCCUCGGGGUGCCAAAAAUAAGCCGCGGGCAAAGCCGAGCCCAAAAAUAAGCGCCCGAAGGUCGUGGUGCCAAAACCCCCCAGCGGAAAAAUGGCCAAAAAACAGGUGGGCUAUAGCCUUGGUGGGGGGCGCGGGCGAAGUUCGUCCGCCGGACUCGGAAUGGGGCGAGACUUUGCGAGGGGCCUCGGGGUGCCCAAAAUAAGCCGCGGGCAAAGCCGCGCCCAAAAAUAAGCGCCCAAAGGUCGUGGUGCCAAAACCCCCCAGCGGAAAAAUGGCCAAAAAACGGGUGGGCUAUAGCCUUGGUGGGGGGCGCGGGCGAAGUUCGUCCGCCGGACUCGGAAUCGGGCGAGACUUUGUGAGGAGCCUCGGGGUGCCCGCGGGAAGUCGCGGGCACAGCCGCGUCCAGAAAUAAGCGCCCGAAGGUCGUGGUGCCAAAACCCCCAGCGGAAAAAUGGCCAAAAAACGGGUGGGCUACAGCCUUGGUGGGGGGCGCGGGCGAACUUCGUCCGCCGGACUCGGAAUGGGGCGAGACUUUGCGAGGGGCCUCGGGGUGGCAAAAAUAAGCCGCGGGCAAAGCCGCGCCCAAAAAUAAGCGCCCAAAGGUCGUGGUGCCAAAACCCCCCAGCGGAAAAAUGGCCAAAAAACGGGUGGGCUAUAGCCUUGGUGGGGGGCGCGGGCGAAGUUCGUCCACCGGACUCGGAAUGGGGCGAGACUUUUCGAGGGGCCUGGGAGCAUCAAAAAUAAGCCGCGGGCAAAGCCGCACCCAAAAAUAAGCGCCCGAAGGUCGUGGUGCCAAAACUCCCAGCGGAAAAAUGGGCCAAAAACGGGUGUGGCUAUGGCCUUGGUGGGGGGCGCGGGCGAAGUUUGUCCGCCGGACUUGGAAUGGGGCGAGACUUUGCGAGGGGCCUCGGGGUGCCAAAAAUAAGCCGCGGGCAAAGCCGCGCCCAAAAAUAAGCGCCCAAAGGUCGUGGUGCCAAAACCCCCCAGCGGAAAAAUGGCCAAAACACGGGUGGGCUAUAGCCUUGGUGGGGGGCGCGGGCGAAGUUCGUCCGCCGGACUCGGAAUGGGGCGAGACUUUGCGAGGGGCCUUGGGGUGCCCGCGGGAAGUCGCGGGCACAGCCGCGUCCAAAAAGAAGCGCCCGAAGGUCGUGGUGCCAAAACCCCCCAGCGGAAAAAUGGCCAAAAAACGGGCGGGCUAUAGCCUUGGUGGGGGGCGCGGGCGAAGUUCGUCCGCCGGACUCGGAAUGGGGCGAGACUUUGCGAGGGGCCUCGGGGUACCAAAAAUAAGCCGCGGGCAAAGCCGCGCCCAAAAAUAAGCGCCCGAAGGUCGUGGUGCCAAAACCCCCCAGCGGAAAAAUGGCCAAAAAACGGGUGGGCUAUAGCCUUGGUGGGGGCCGCGGGCGAAGUUCGUCCGCCGGACUCGGAAUGGGGCGAGACUUUUCGAGGGGCCUCGGGGUACCAAAAAUAAGCCGCGGGCAAAGCCGCGCCCAAAAAUAAGCGCCCGAAGGUCAUGGUGCCAAAACCCCCCAGCGGAAAAAUGGCCAAAAAACGGGUGGGCUAUAGCCUUGGUGGGGGGCGCGGGCGAAGUUCGUCCGCCGGACUCAGAAUGGGGCGAGACUUUGCGAGGGGCCUCGGGGUANNN
This 1760-nucleotide long non-coding RNA is filed under the name Citrus x clementina. RNAcentral describes it as "Citrus clementina (C. clementina) long non-coding RNA (CCLE_LNC005919)". Lineage: Eukaryota; Viridiplantae; Streptophyta; Magnoliopsida; Sapindales; Rutaceae. The record is from RNAcentral.